Molecule: ribosomal RNA, 301 nt
Filed under: uncultured bacterium
Lineage: Bacteria
Description: partial 16S ribosomal RNA
Rfam family: Bacterial small subunit ribosomal RNA
Source: RNAcentral
CAGCAGCCGCGGUAAUACGUAGGGUGCAAGCGUUAAUCGGAAUUACUGGGCGUAAAGCGUGCGCAGGCGGUUAUAUAAGACAGAUGUAAAAUCCCCGGGCUCAACCUGGGAACUGCAUUUGUGACUGUAUAGCUAGAGUACGGCAGAGGGGGAUGGAAUUCCGCGUGUAGCAGUGAAAUGCGUAGAUAUGCGGAGGAACACCGAUGGCGAAGGCAAUCCCCUGGGCCUGUACUGACGCUCAUGCACGAAAGCGUGGGGAGCAAACAGGAUUAGAUACCCCGGUAGUCCCUGUCUCUUAUAC